This 497-nucleotide ribosomal RNA is filed under the name uncultured bacterium. RNAcentral's name for it is "partial 16S ribosomal RNA". It matches the Rfam family "Bacterial small subunit ribosomal RNA", at positions 28 to 507 of the family's 1533-position model. The record is from RNAcentral.
GAUGAACGCUGGCAGCGUGCCUAAUACAUGCAAGUCGAGCGAACAGACGAGGAGCUUGCUCCUCUGACGUUAGCGGCGGACGGGUGAGUAACACGUGGAUAACCUACCUAUAAGACUGGGAUAACUUCGGGAAACCGGAGCUAAUACCGGAUAAUAUAUUGAACCGCAUGGUUCAAUAGUGAAAGACGGUUUUGCUGUCACUUAUAGAUGGAUCCGCGCCGCAUUAGCUAGUUGGUAAGGCAACGGCUUACCAAGGCAACGAUGCGUAGCCGACCUGAGAGGGUGAUCGGCCACACUGGAACUGAGACACGGUCCAGACUCCUACGGGAGGCAGCAGUAGGGAAUCUUCCGCAAUGGGCGAAAGCCUGACGGAGCAACGCCGCGUGAGUGAUGAAGGUCUUCGGAUCGUAAAACUCUGUUAUUAGGGAAGAACAAAUGUGUAAGUAACUAUGCACGUCUUGACGGUACCUAAUCAGAAAGCCACGGCUAACUACGUG